GAUGAACGCUGGCGGCGUGCCUAAUACAUGCAAGUCGAGCGAACAGACGAGGAGCUUGCUCCUAUGACGUCGGGGCGGGUGGGGAGGUUACCCGGGGGUCACCAUACCUCAACGAAGGGGUUACUUAGGGAAAACGGGGGCUAUUACCGAAAAAUUUAUUGCCCUUAUGGGUCCAUUGGUUAAAACGGGUUUUCUGUAACGUAAAAGACGACCCGGGCCGCAAUACAUAGCUGGUAAGGGAACGGCUUAACAAGGAAACGAGGCGUAACCGACCUGAGAGGGUGAUCGGCCACACUGGAACUGAGACACGGUCCAGACUCCUACGGUAGGCAGCAGUAGGGAAUCUUCCGCGAUGGGCGAAAGCCUGACGGAGCAACGCCGCGUGAGGGAUGAAGGUCUUCUGAUCGUAAAGCGCUGUUAUUAGGGAAGAACAAAUGUGUAAGUAACUAUGCACGUCUUGACGGUACCUAAUCAGAAAGCCACGGCUAACUACGUG
This 496-nucleotide ribosomal RNA is filed under the name uncultured bacterium. RNAcentral's name for it is "partial 16S ribosomal RNA". It matches the Rfam family "Bacterial small subunit ribosomal RNA", at positions 28 to 507 of the family's 1533-position model. The record is from RNAcentral.